RNAcentral lists this ribosomal RNA (301 nucleotides) under uncultured bacterium. Its description in RNAcentral is "partial 16S ribosomal RNA". It matches the Rfam family "Bacterial small subunit ribosomal RNA", at positions 509 to 807 of the family's 1533-position model. The record is from RNAcentral.
CAGUCGCCGCGGUAAUACGUAGGGUGCAAGCGUUAAUCGGAAUUACUGGGCGUAAAGCGCACGCAGGCGGUCUGUCAAGUCAGAUGUGAAAUCCCCGGGCUUAACCUGGGAACUGCAUUUGAAACUGGCAGGCUAGAGUCUUGUAGAGGGGGGUAGAAUUCCAGGUGUAGCGGUGAAAUGCGUAGAGAUCUGGAGGAAUACCGGUGGCGAAGGCGGCCCCCUGGACAAAGACUGACGCUCAGGUGCGAAAGCGUGGGGAGCAAACAGGAUUAGAUACCCGAGUAGUCCCUGUCUCUUAUAC